UGAAUACGAGAUGCUACGGCGUCGAAGCAGUCUAUGUCAUACUUCCAAGAAAAGCUUGCACUGUCAUAAACAAAUAAUGCCUGUACCAUAACCGACACAGGUGGGUAGGUAGAGUAUACUAAGGGGCGCGAGAUAACUCUCUCUAAGGAACUCGGCAAAAUGACUCCGUAACUUCGGGAGAAGGAGUGCCUUAUUUUAUAAGGUUGCAAUAACAAGAUCCAAGCAACUGUUUACCAAAAACACAGGUCUCCGCUAAGUCGUAAGACGAUGUAUGGGGGCUGACGCCUGCCCAGUGCCAGAAGGUUAAAGAAGUUGGUUAGCAUCCGCGAAGCUGAUAACUGAAGCCCUGGUGAACGGCGGCCGUAACAAUAACGGUCCUAAGGUAGCGAAAUUCCUUGUCGGGUAAGUUCCGACCCGCACGAAAGGCGUAAUGAUUUGGAUACUGUCUCAGAAAGGGGCUCGGUGAAAUAGACUUGUCUGUGAAGAUGCGGACUACCUGCACCAGGACAGAAAGACCCUAUGAAGCUUUACUGUAACUUGAAAUUGAAAUUGGACUUUACUUGCGCAGUAUAGGUGGGAGGCGUAGAUAAUAUUCUUGCGGGAAUGUUGGAGCCAUCAGUGAGAUACCACUCUUGUAAUGUUAGAUUUCUAACUUUGUAUCAUUAUCUGGUCAAAGGACAGUUUCAGGCGGGCAGUUUGACUGGGGCGGUCGCCUCCCAAACGGUAACGGAGGCGCACAAAGGUUUCCUCUGAACGGGUAGAAAUCGUAUCUAGAGUGUAAAGGCAUAAGGAAGCUUGACUGUGAGACCUACAAGUCGAGCAGGGACGAAAGUCGGUCUCAGUGAUCUGACGGUGCUGAGUGGAAAGGCCGUCACUCAACGGAUAAAAGUUACUCUAGGAUAACAGGCUGAUCUCCCCCAAGAGUUCACAUCGACGGGGAGGUUUGGCACCUCGAUGUCGGCUCAUCGCAUCCUGGGGCGGUAGUACGUCCCAAGGGUUGGGCUGUUCGCCCAUGAAAGCGGUACGCGAGCUGGGUUCAGAACGUCGUGAGACAGUUCGGUCCAUAUCCGGUGUAGGCGUUAGAAUAUUGAGAGGAGCCUUCUUUAGUACGAGAGGACCGAGAAGGACAUACCUCUGGUGUACCAGCUAUCGUGCCAACGGUAAACGCUGGGUAGCUAUGUAUGGAGUGGAUAACCGCUGAAAGCAUCUAAGUGGGAAGCCCACCUCAAGAUAAGUAUUCU
RNAcentral lists this ribosomal RNA (1241 nucleotides) under metagenome. RNAcentral's name for it is "bacterial LSU rRNA". It matches the Rfam family "Bacterial large subunit ribosomal RNA", at positions 1564 to 2814 of the family's 2925-position model. The record is from RNAcentral.